Morchella snyderi is the source of this 96-nucleotide non-coding RNA. The record is from the annotation of a GenBank genome assembly. Lineage: Eukaryota; Fungi; Ascomycota; Pezizomycetes; Pezizales; Morchellaceae.
GACAAUGUGGUGGAGUGGUUAACACGUUCGCCUGCUAUGGGUCGCCAAAGUGAGCGGAUGCCUUCGGGCACGCAAGUUCGAAUGUUGCCGUUGUCG